RNAcentral lists this long non-coding RNA (6241 nucleotides) under Sus scrofa (pig). RNAcentral describes it as "lncRNA (ENSSSCG00015047638.1)". Lineage: Eukaryota; Metazoa; Chordata; Mammalia; Artiodactyla; Suidae. The record is from RNAcentral.
GAGCACACUGGGACCAAGAAGGGAAACUCUUCUUCCUCCAGUUUCCCUCUAGUACCAUAUACUGAUGAAAACUUAAAAACAUGCAGGUUGGCAAAGGAAAAACGUAAAGCCUGUCUCCAUUAGUGCAGAGCAGGCAGUGGAGUGUGGAUUCAGAUUUGACAAGCACUGUAUUUGAAAAUGACACAAUGUACUUGUUUCAUGACACUUGGAACAAAUGAGAAUUUCUUAGAAGACACAAAUCACUUCUUAUCCUUCCUUUUAUGCCCAGAAAUGUUUUGAAUACAAAUGGUAUCAGAAUUUAACAAAAAGCUUCAAAGGGAAAAGGAAGCAGUGUUUUUGGAUAUGAAGCUUGAAUAUGCUAAAAUUACAGAUAAUUUAUAUGAGUAUCUUCUAAAGAAAGAUGGAUAGGAGUUCCCUGGUGGCCUGGUGGUUAAGGCCUCAGGGUUGCCACUGCAGUGACUUGAGUUAUACACACGGCUCAGGUUUGUUAUCUGAUAGGAGUACUUAUAUAUGCCGCAGGUACAACCAAAAAAAAAAAAAAAAGGAAAAAAAUUUGAUAAAAAUUUGAUAUUAAAAGGGCUUAGGCACUUGAUUCAGGAAUAUAGAUUUAAAUUUUACUAUUGUUCACCUUCUAUCUGGAAAAACAACUUACCUUAAAAGCUUAGAUACUUUUAAAAAGUAGAGAUUCUAAUAAUACUACCUAAUGCGAAGUUUCUUUGGAUUUAGUGCAAUAGUGCAUUAAACAUGUAACUCAGUAACAGUCACAAAGCUCUGCUUGUGUUUAAAAUGAGGACAAAUAACUUUGAAAUGAAUAAAUACAUUUAAUUUUCAGGAUAGGUAGGGAUAUAAUAUACCUAUACUUUCAAUUCAUUUCUCCCUUUUGAGGUCCAUAAGUUUGUAUACGACCUAGCCAUUUGUCAUGUACCUUAGAGCCGCAUUUAUUGUCUUUCCUCUAAAAUAUUCUUCCAUUUUUAAACCAUUUUUGAUCAUGUUUCUCACUUUGACCAAAUUAUGCAAUUCAGGGACUUGGAAGUCAUAGUGGAUCUCACAUCUAGCCACAUUCAGCAUCUAAUUGGUCACUAAAUCAUAUUUAUUCUAUCUACUUAAACUCAAUACAUUCUCUUCUUCUUAAUCACUCUUCGAGCUUUAUUUCUAAAUAAUAGCAAUAACAUCUUUUUGAUUAUUAAUUGAAUUUAUUGUCUAGUUUAUACCUUUCAAAAUAAUAAUCUGAUCAAAUUACUCCUCUCCUGAAAACUUUUAAUGCCAUUCCCCCAGUGACACCAAUACCCUGUUACCUAGAGGAUAAAACCCAUACUCCUUAGGAUGAUAUACAAGGAGUUAUAGCCCCAACCUACCUAUCUAGCCAUAUUUCUCUUUAUUCCUCAUAAAUAUAUAAUGCUAAGUCUCUAAUAAAUCACUAACUAUUCCUUGAAAUUGCCAUGAUUUUUCAUGCAUUCAUAUUUUGCAAAAUGCAUUUAUUCUAUCUAGCAUAAUGCAUAAUACUGUUUGAUUUGUAUCAAAAAAUUUUGUAACUUGUAGAUGGCUUACCACAUGUGUGAUAAUCUGCUAAAUUCUUCACAUGUAUUAUCUAAAUGCUAUAGCAGAUCUAUGAGGAAAUAGAUACAGUGAAGUAACAUAUAAUGUCCCAGUUACGAUAUUAUGAACAGUAAAGCCUGGGCAGGAAUAUGAUUGACACUAAAAUCUAUGCAAUCAAAAAAAGUUACGAAACUACUUUAAUCAUAUUUAUUGGUGUGAAAUCUUUUCUGACCUGUCUGCACAUAAGACAUUGAUAAUCAUCCUGACUUUUAUGUCAUAACUAAGUCCAAACCUGUCUCUGUUAUCUCAAGUAUCACACAGAAAUUUAUUUGUGGUUUUUAUGUCUGUCAUUCCCAUGAGACCGGUAUGGGAUAAGGUUAUUGCCCAAAGUAUAGUUAGUUCUCCAUAAAUUAUAUUUGAAUUCAUAAGUGAAUUAAUGAUACAAAUUCUACCUUCUAUUUUGUGUUCUAGUUAGCUAAUGCAAGAAAUACUGGAAGUGUCAUUAAUUUUAUCUGUUACCUUUGCAUUCAGAAAGCGUUUUGGAAGGAAAGAAACAUCUGUAGUACAUGUUAGAAGAUGAUGAUGAGAUUUUGACAGGUGGAGGCAGAGCAGAAACGACAUUCCAAACUUAAGGUCUAACAUAAUAAGAGCCAUUUAGUCUAGUCUAAAUGAAUAGCGAAUCAUCAGAUUUGAUGUAUUGCUUACAUAUGAUCUUGCUCUGACUUAUUAGCUGUUUAUUUAUCUUUCAGGUUGUAGGCGAGUAGCAAGUAUAUACAGAAGUCAGGGGAACAUUUCUCACAUUAACCUGAUGAGAGGCUAGUCCGUUGGAUUCCCUCUCCCCACCCAGAAUCAAAGAGCCUCCUUGGAACUGGCCUUUCACUCUUUCCGUCUCUCUUGGCUGAGUGAGGCUCGUGUGAAGUUUAUAUAAGAUGUGUGAACGCAGUGAAUUUGUUUUUCUUCUAGAAGCUAUCGUUUUACAGUACAUUUGCAGUUUGAAGCAUGUUCUUUACAUAAAUGUCUUUGAAGCUACAACACGUAUAUUUCAUGUCUGUGAUUUUAUAUGCUUUAUAAUACCCUUCAUAGUAAUUCUACAAGGUACAUUUUCCUUUUUUAAUGAAGAAAUUUAAGCUGCAAAAGUCUCAUGUUCACUAUUUGUAGCUAAUCAUUGUGAUAGGUUGGUAAUUCAAAACCAUUUAUUUCUGUCUUACACCAAAGCCUUUGUUUUUUCAACCAGGCAACUCCAUCUUUCAGUAUGAGCACAGGUUCUGAGGGUAAGAAACCAUAUUGCAUAUCCUGACAAUGAACUACAAAACAGACAAUUUUGGUCAAAUCUGAGAUUCUCAAAGUUGUUUGUGCAUUAGAAUCACCUGAGGAGGUUUUAAAAUUUAUGCUCAGAUUGAACCAUAAUCUUCCAUCACAAACAAAUCAAAUCAUGGUCUCUGGGAUCAGAGACAUAUAAUCAAAAGGUUAAAUUCCUGGGUGAUUCUCAUAUUCAUCCAAUACUGAGAACACUACACUGAAGUGAAGAACAUGUGUACAGAGAAGAGUAUUUAAAAACAUGACUAUUAGGAGUUCCCGUCGUGAAGCAGUGGUUAACGAAUCCGACUAGGAACUAUGAGGUUGUGGGUUCGAUCCCUGGUCUUGCUCAGUGGGUUAAGGAUCCGGCGUUGCUGUGAGCUGUGGUAUAGGUCGCAGAUACGGCUCAGAUCCAAUGUUACUGUGGCUCUGACGUAGGCCAGUGGCUACAGCUCCGAUUAGACCCCUACCCUGGGAACCUCCAUAUGCUGGCGGAGCGGCCCUAGAAAAGGCAAAAAGACAAAUAAGCAAACAAAUAAAUAAAUAAAAACAUGACUAUUAGAAUCAGGUCUGCAGUAAAGAAUCCUAGCUGCCUUACUUAAUAAUAACUCUGUCACCAUAGGCUAAUUACUCAAGUCUACAUUUAUUCGCCCAUAAGAUAGGAAUAAACUAAAAUAUAUAAACUGCUUAACAUAUGGAAUAGGUUUAAUUGAUGGCAAUUCCUACUAUUUAUAAAUAAAUAGCAAAUAAAUUUGAAAAAUGAUACUAAGAUUAUGUUGGGAAAUAUCUAAGUACUGAAGCGGAUUAUCAUGAGUGUAGAUGACAGAAACAAAUUGGAUUAGAGAUAUAUUUUUACUCAGAUGCUUAUGAUUUUUAAAAUUUUCCUAUUUACAUAUUCUUUGCAGUAAGUAAUCUUAGGUAUUAAUUACACACAGCUUUAAUUGGCAUAAGCUUAUAAAUUCUCAUUAUCUCAUAAUGAUGAAAAAAGAUAAAAGAGUGUCUGGUCUUGAUAAUGUACGAAUAAUGAGAAAUAUUGUGUACCUUGUUUUACUAAGCAUCAGUUAUUUUUCUGAUGAAUGGAAUUUUAGAUGUCUUAACUAGCUGUUGCCUAAUGCCAUUUACCACCUCUUUUUUGUUUUGUUUUUUAGACAUUACUAGUCUUACAUAAUCUAGAAGCAAAAAACAACAGUGAAAGUUUACCUGUUUUACAUAUUAAGACACUUUCCCAUUCAGUUAUCAUUUGAUUCUCAGAAGCCCCAAGAAAGGAAUGAAGAACCGGUAUGUGGUUUAAUAGUUUGUAGGGAGGUGGCUAAACAACAGUUUCCUUCUUACUCCUAAUCUAAUGCUUCUUUUAUAACAUACACACUUAUUUAGAACAUGUUGAAAGUCCAGAAGAUAAGAAUUAAUAUUUUGGCCCAGGUAUGUGGGCAACCCUAUGAACUUGGAGUGAAUAGCUCAGAGACCUUUGAGGGAUCACUACUUCUUUAUAGGUCUAAGCUGAAAGUCAGAGAAACGGUUACGAUAAUAGAAACUGAACAAUUCUCAAAGCAUCAAACAGUGCUGACUCAGCCGAAGACCAGAUAGUACAAGACAUUGAUGCCAGCAAACAGAAAUAGAGUAAGGAAAUACACUAUGCAAUGUCUGGUCUUCCUACAUAAGACAUAAGUAGUCCUGGCUGCAAAGAAAGUUAUAGAAAGAAAACCUUUGGCUUAAGGGAGUGUCAGAAUCCUUGCAAAUAUUCUGGAACCAGUGGGUGGUGUGAUGUCAGCCCUGCUUUCCUUUCAGUAGGUAAAUGUCCUCAGUUAUGUAUAGAAUGCAUCCUUUGCACUGUAGUUGAUGUUUUGGGAAAUGGUGGUGUAUAUUCAAAUAUUUCAACACUCCCUUCAAUUUGGAUUCAAAUUUUACUGAAAGUGAUAUUCAUUAAAAGUUUCGCACUGUAAUUAGUAAUUUUAUUAUAAACUGUACAAAACGUCUCUCAUGUUAAUCUAAUAUCGGUUUAGGCAUUUAAAAAUUUCAAAUUAACAGGAUAACUUAGAUGCAAUACUAAAUUAAGUUCUCUUAUGUAUACAUUAAGGAUAAAACAGCUAGUUACAGUCAGCUAUUAUUUGUGGAAGUAUGCGUAAAGUAUUCUGAGUUUGACUUAACACAUGAUAAAGAAAUUGACAGGUAAGUUUAAAUGCACAUGUAUGUAUGGCCAAUUUGAAAGUAUAUGCUUUAAACAUAGGUAUUUUUGAAUUGUUGUAUUAAAGUGUCUUAUCUAAAGAAAUUUAAACCAAUUUUUUAAAAAUUUAUUUUCUUAAUUUCUAAAGCAAUUAGAUAUUCCUUGUAAAGAAUUCCAGUACAGAACCAUAUAGAACAAAAUGUGACAGUAAGAACUACGCUAAAUUUAGACAAAAAGUACCUCCGGCAAUGAGAGAAUGAGAUUUAGAGGAGGGAAUAAACAGGUCAACAACUUUAUUUGUAAUGCCCAAUUUCCUUAACAAAAGGGAAAGGUAAAAUGAUAAAACGUUUCCAUUGACAAUUAAGGAUUUUAUGUACAUAAAAGUUUUAGUAUUUUUCAAUUUCUCAAAAAGCUUUAAAGAUUUCAAUUAGACGUUAUUACUAUGUGAUUGAGCUUGAUUUAACUUAUUUAACACCCUAUAGAUAUCUGAACUGAACUUUAAAAUAUUUUUUUAAUUCUAGAAACAUCAUUAAUUUGAUACCAAAAAAACUAAGAGCUACUGUGAUUACCUUUCAAAAUGUAUUGGGUUUCCUCCCUACACACAAAACCCCCAAACAUCCUAAAAGCUAUUUUGAGUAAUUCUUCCUCAAACAUAACAAAACAAAAAGGCCAUGCUUUCCUUUUCCAUUUUCAUAGGAAGGUCCUCAAGUGGAUAGCGGUUCAUGACAUGAACAACUACUUAAAUAUUUUCUCCUCAUCCAUUAUAUUUCACUGCUAGGGAAGUUGAAAGUGAUUUAAGCUAGAAACAGAGAAAAAUCUAAACUUAGAAUGACACUUUCCUGAUUUAUUGCCGCUUAGAUCCAACAUAAACUAUAUGUAGAUUAAGAAAGUGUCAUUAACAUUGUAUAUAAAUAAAACAAAAUGGAAAGCUCACAAUGUAAUAAUACCAAUAGAAAAAAACUUAUAAAAUUAAGAAAUUUGGGAGUUCCCAUCAUGGCUCAGUAGUUGACGAAUCUGACUAGGAACCAUGAGGUUGCAGGUGAUCUGGCCUUGCUCAGUGGGUUAAGGAUCCAGCGUUGCUGUGAGCUGUGGUGUAGCUCACAGACAUGGCUCAGGUCCCCUGUUGUUGUUGCUCUGGUGUAGGCUGGCGGCUACAGUUCUAAUUGGACCCCUACCCUGGGGAACCUGCAUAUGCCUCGGGAGCAGCCCAAGAAAAGGCAAAAAGACAAAAAAAUAAAAUAAAAAAAA